Molecule: transfer RNA, 92 nt
Filed under: Xylariaceae sp. FL0016
Lineage: Eukaryota; Fungi; Ascomycota; Sordariomycetes; Xylariales; Xylariaceae
Description: tRNA-Gln
Rfam family: tRNA
About the family: Transfer RNA (tRNA) molecules are approximately 80 nucleotides in length. Their secondary structure includes four short double-helical elements and three loops (D, anti-codon, and T loops).
Source: RNAcentral
GCCCGAUUCGUCUAGCGGUUAGGACAUUGGAUUUUGAUACAAUUUAGAUAUCAGACCUUCCAAAAGCCGCGGUUCGAUUCCGCGAUUGGGCU